AAAUUGCUUGAACCCAGGAGGUGGAAGUUGCGGUGAGCCGAGAUCGUGUCAUUGUACUCCAUCCUGGGCAACAAGA
Molecule: small nuclear RNA, 76 nt
Filed under: Homo sapiens (human)
Lineage: Eukaryota; Metazoa; Chordata; Mammalia; Primates; Hominidae
Description: partial ncRNA
Source: RNAcentral